This 697-nucleotide ribosomal RNA is filed under the name uncultured Acidobacteriota bacterium. RNAcentral's name for it is "bacterial SSU rRNA". It matches the Rfam family "Bacterial small subunit ribosomal RNA", at positions 1 to 736 of the family's 1533-position model. Lineage: Bacteria; Pseudomonadati; Acidobacteriota. The record is from RNAcentral.
UAGAGUUUGAUCCUGGCUCAGAAUCAACGCUGGCGGCAUGCCUAACACAUGCAAGUCGAACGAGAAAGUCCUUCGGGACGAGUACAGUGGCGCACGGGUGAGUAACGCGUGGGUUAUCUACCUCCGGGUGGGGAAUAACUCGGGGAAACUCGAGCUAAUACCGCAUAAUACGUUCUACGUUAAAGCAGCAAUGCGCCUGGAGAUGAGCCUGCGUCCGAUUAGCUAGUUGGUGGGGUAAUGGCCCACCAAGGCGACGAUCGGUAGCCGGCCUGAGAGGGCGGUCGGCCACACUGGCACUGAAACACGGGCCAGACUCCUACGGGAGGCAGCAGUGAGGAAUCUUGGGCAAUGGGCGAAAGCCUGACCCAGCAAUGCCGCGUGAACGAUGAAGUCCUUCGGGAUGUAAAGUUCAUAAGCAGGAGAAGAACACCAUGACGGUAUCCUGUGUAAGCCCCGGCCAACUACGUGCCAGCAGCCGCGGUAAUACGUAGGGGGCAAGCGUUGUUCGGAUUUACUGGGCGUAAAGGGCGCGUAGGCGGCGCGUAAAGUCGGACAUGAAAUCAUUAGGCUCAACCUAAUGGCUGUGUCCGAUACUUACGUGCUUGGAGUGCGGGAGAGGCAGCCGGAAUUCUCGGUGUAGCGGUGAAAUGCGUAGAUAUCGAGAGGAACACCGGUGACGAAGUGGGUUGCUGGACCG